AACCACCACUCUGCAGCAGAGCCUGCUCUGUGGCCUCAAGAUGUGCCCUUGGUUUGCUUCCUGCGUUUAACUUUGCUUCUGGGUAACACCUAAUUGAUGAAGCAAGAAAAGCAGGGAUCAUAGAAUCAAUGGCAAAGAUAGAAGGUGUUUGUCCUGGAGCUAUAGCAUGGCUAUGAAUUUGUCUUAGUUUCAACUCAGAGAUUCCUUUGGAGGAAGUGGAAAGGAAGGCUACUUGGUGCCCACACAACACAAGAGGACAGCAGCCACAUGAUCCUAGUAAAACGGCCCCACUCUCCACCCCCUACCCCCGCUCCGUUCCUCACAGCACUGCUUUCCCCCUGUAAGUUGUUAUGGCUUCCUCUGGCUUCUGACUCCCUCCGUAGCAGGGACUUUGUCUUUUUGUUCACCACUGCAUUCUCUGCACCUAUAACAAAGCCUGACCCCUAACAUAAGUGCUCAGUAAAUAAUUAUUAAUUGGCUGAGUGACAAUUAGUUCUAGAACUUACUAAGUCUUGUCAUUUAGUUUAUACUUUUGAAGGAAUUUCUAAAAAUUUAUUCUUCCUCCAGAAACUAUACCUAUCAACAUUAAUCGUAUUUCCUUUCAGUCCUUUACUUAUGUAUAUUUUAAUUUCGUUAAUAAUAAAAACAUACACUCUUAUUUUAAAGGAAAUGAAACAUUACAGAUAAAGCUAAGAUUCAGUCCAUUAACCAGCCCCCCCCCCAAGUCCCCUCCCCUGGAGAGGUACCAUAAUCACUUUUUGUGCUCUUAAAAUUUUGUUAUAGCCUUCAUUUGUGAAAGGCAGACAAAGAAGCUGGGAGAAAUCCCAAACCAGUGCCAAAACUUUGUAUAGUUAAAAAAAAAAAGUCACCAAAUCUAAUCCUUGUUUUCCAAAGAGAUUCAGAAAGUCCUACAUCAAAUCAAGUUAUCUGCUGAACACAUACUUACCUUCCCUUAUCAUGCAUUUGCCAAGUACGUGUUGCCUACCACUGUGUGCUGCAGCAGUGAGCAGUGCACACAGCAGCCUCUGCCCUCAGCCAGCUUGUAUUCCAUGGGUGAGCGAGGCGAGGCAUCAACUGAGGGAAAAACACAGCCUGUCAGAUGGUGGUGAGCGGUGGAGCGAAUAAUAAAAUCAGAGAAGGUGAUAGGGCAUGGCAGGUAGAGAGAGGAGAUCACAACUUUAAACAGACAGUCAGGCCUCAGGGAGACUUUUUUGCACACAGACCUAGGGGAGGAAAGGGAGAGAGUGGCGUGGUCUCUAAGGGAAGAGCAUGUCGGGCAGAGAAAACUACAAAAGAAGGGCCCUGAGACAGAGAGUAUCUCAUGUGAUGAAGCCAGUGGGACCAGAAAAGCAAGUCAAGGGGAAAGGAGGCGGAAGAAAAGUCAGCAUAAGGACUUGGACUUUUACUCUGAGUAAAACCGAAAGUCAUUAGGAGUGUUGAGCAGAGAAAGGGUAGGAUCUGACAUUCCUUAAAGGUAUCGUAGUGAUACCUUUAAACUGUCCCCACAACUGGAAACUUGUGGCAGCAGCAGUUGGGGUGGUGAAGUAGUAGUUGGUUCUGACACAGUUGAAAGGUAGGGUAGCGGAAUUUGCUACAGGGUUACACGAGCACUGUGAGAAGAGCUAAAUGUCAAAGAAGGAUUCCAAAGUCUUUGGCAAAAGAUACUGUAGGAUGGAAUUGCCACAUAGCUACAUAGAGAAGCCUGCAGGAGGAGCAGGUUUUCAGAAAGACCAGGAGUUUGUUUUGGACAUGUCACAUUUCAGGUGUCUUUUAGACAUCCACCUGAGUGUCUGGUCAGCAGGAGAAUGUGCAGAAGUUCAGCAUUAGAGGUCCUGGCUAGAAAUACAAAUUUGGGGAGGCAUUAGUGUAUAAAUGGCGUGCUCAGAGAAGUGACUGAGAGCAAUAAAGUAGAAGAUAUAGAUACAGAAGAGGCUCAAGGGCCGAUGUCCCUCCUAGUUAGAGACCAAGGAGAUGAGGAGCCAGUAAAUGAACCCAAUGAGUAGCCAGAUUAUUCAGAAGAAAACUGGGAGCAAGUGGUAUCCCAGAGCCAAGUGAAGGAAGUGUUUCAAAGGUGAGCACAUGCCAUGUGAUCCUGCUCAAUCCGAUAGGGAUGAGGGUUGAGACUCCAGUGGAAUAAUAUUGAGGUCAUAGGUUUAAAAGAAGAUAAGGUGAGAGAAAUUGGAGAUGAGAAUAUGUAACUCUUUCUAGGAGUUGUGCUGCAAAGGGGAACAGAGAAACUCCCUUGCUUUUCUCAGGAGUCAGGUUUCUGCUCAUAGAAUUUGUCUCUAAAAAUACCGUAGCCCAGCUGUUUGUGUCAGGGUGUGUACCUGGCAUGCUCCUGCUUUGUUGAGUGUUUCAGGUAGCCCUGGGAGCCAGGCACAGGGUCUGCCUCUCUGCCUCUGUCCCUGCUGCCUAGUACUUAAAGGCAGGGAGAUGAACAAAAGCAGUAAAGUCAGGACCCUGAGAAUGAGAUGGCUGGGAGGCAUUAAGACCCUGUGAGUCCACUGUGGGUGUCUGAAAUUUCAUUUCUGUUCAUUUCUUUGAAGUAUCUCCUUGCUCUGUGGUCCAUUUUGAAAACACAUAAUUUAGAAAGGCUUUGAGUGGGUUGGUUUGACCUGGUUCUGCCCUUGACUUGUCAGGAACACUGAGAAGAGGGAGUCUUGGUGGGAGCGGGGCAGGAAUCCAGAAAUGCCCUACCUCCAGGAACAGAGGGGGCAAAGCCCCAAAUUUCCCUUUCCUCUGCCUUCACCAAAGACCUUGGAAUCAUUAGCAACCCAGAUGGCCUGUUAUGAGGGGUGGAGACGGUGCUUACCACCUGUUCACCUCUCUUCCUAUGUUCAGGAGAGUUUAAUUGGGAAGAUACAGAGGAAAAAAGGAAAUCAGAUCUUGGAUCUAUGUUGUAUAUUUAAAGUCAAUUUUUAAUGUUAAAAUGAAUUCUGAAGAAAGGGAGUCAGCCAUCCUUACUUCCGCCUCCCUGAGCACUGCUCCACCCCCAACGUAGGGAUCUGAGGGCCUUUGCUGAAGCGGCCCGAGGGUGAGAUGCAGUGACUCAGGGUAGCAGGGCUUACACAGAGCACUUGGCUUCAGCACCAUGUCUUCAGAGAAAGGCAGUAAUAACUGACCAUAUUUUCUAAAUCAAACAUUAGAGCACAUAAGUACAUUUGUUUACAUAGAGGUAUAAAAGAUAAGGCAAUGAACGUGUUUUAUCAAGGCCUGAUAAUGGGGGGAGACAUAUUAAAUUAACUUAAGGGGAUCCUCAGACACUCAGGAUGUGUGGUCAUGGUCACAUUAAUCCCAAAGCCCCAGCAAAGUCAGCGCCUUGAGAGACAUGGAGGGGAGUGUCUGGGGACCUCUCUCACAGGAAGGCUAAAAGAGGCCCUCAACUUAGAGGUCACAGGUUCAUGCCAAACCUUCCUU
Long non-coding RNA from Phyllostomus discolor (pale spear-nosed bat), 3417 nucleotides. RefSeq lists it as uncharacterized. Lineage: Eukaryota; Metazoa; Chordata; Mammalia; Chiroptera; Phyllostomidae. The transcript has 2 exons. The record is from RefSeq and is a predicted model, not a curated record.